AGGGUAAGGAAGAAGCGAACGUACCCGAUACCGACACAGGUGGAUUGGGGAUAUGUCCUAAGGCUUAAUAUAAGCAACCGGCUCGAAGGAACUCGGCAAUAUGCUUACGUGGUUAUCGACAAGUAAGGGCUAUAAAUGCCAUAGUAUACCAGAAUGCGACGACUGUUUACUAAAAACACAAGACCCUGCUUAAUGUAUACAGCUAUAUGACCUAUACACCGUAGAGCAUAUAGUACGCAUGUAAAGGGUCUGACAUCUGCCCAUUGACUAAGGUAAACGGCUGCUGUAACUAUAACGGUACUAAGGUAGCAAAAUCCAUUGUCGCUUAAUUGGCGACGCGCAUGAAUGAUGUAACGAUCGCAUUGCUGUCUCCGAGCCGGGCUAUGCGAAGUUGACCUCUCCGUGCAGAUGCGGAGGCGUGUAGGUGGGACGAUAAUACGCAUUGUCGUAUAAUGCUAGUAAUAGGCUAAGCAUUAUAACCUUUGGGUCCUAUUCAAGGAGAUAAGCUGUAUAGGCUACGUAAGCCACAUAAGCUAUUAACUUGAAGCUAUGCUCUAUACUAACUAUAGAUAUGGCUCAACGACUAUAGGUUAACAGUAAGAUAACCUCAACCCAACAGCUUAACUGGCGUAUAUAUACCAGGAUAAGCCCUUACAUGGGUUAUAAGCUGAAGGCAUAGUCUGAACUCAAUAGCGUCGCUAUUGAGUAUAACGUAAUUGAAGACCCUGUGCAUCUUAACAGGCUGAUGAAGCUAAUAAACGGAUACUUGUGGGAUACCCGUAAGGCUCACCA
This 792-nucleotide ribosomal RNA is filed under the name Dunaliella viridis. Its description in RNAcentral is "large subunit ribosomal RNA". The stretch from base 1 to 394 matches the Rfam family "Bacterial large subunit ribosomal RNA", at positions 1624 to 2044 of the family's 2925-position model. The record is from RNAcentral. Lineage: Eukaryota; Viridiplantae; Chlorophyta; Chlorophyceae; Chlamydomonadales; Dunaliellaceae.